This is a long non-coding RNA of Ornithodoros turicata, 2882 nucleotides long. RefSeq lists it as uncharacterized. Lineage: Eukaryota; Metazoa; Arthropoda; Arachnida; Ixodida; Argasidae. The transcript is spliced from 4 exons. The record is from RefSeq and is a predicted model, not a curated record.
UAAAUUAUAAUGUAGCGGUGGCGUAUUCCAUUUAGCUUAUGUUAUCCAACUUGUGUCGUGCUGAACAUUGUCACCAUCAGCAAAUUUAAUUUUAGGGGCCUUCCAGUGUUGAAGUGGCGCCAGACUGCUUUGUGUGUGUGUGAUCCAGGCACACAAGUUGACAUGACAGAAAUAGCUGAAAGCAGAUAUGCAAAGUCCACAGAUGCAAGAACUAGAUUUCUUGCAUGUUGCAGACUUUGUGACAUUUUUUUUUUUGAGUCUUUGGACAGGUGCAGAACAUUAGUAUGACGUCAACACUAGGAGAAGGAACCGAUGAGGACCGAGAUGCUUCAACGCGAUCUGAUUGACUGCCGGCAACCUCUUCUCUAGUGAUGAAAGAUGAAAGUCACUGAAAAGGUUAGCCAGCUGUAGGACUUGAACCCACAUCUCCUGGACUACAGGUCCAGGGCUCUACCAAUUGAGCUAAGCUAACACGCCUUCUCAGCGACUUCCAGGGGUACCCUGACUGUGGUCCAACCAUUAACCGCGGCUACAAAAAGAGCCCCUUGAAGCUUGGAUCAGCGACUAGCCGCUACGAAAGGGCAAAGCGACGAACUACAAAGUCGGUGUGCAACAGACAUGACACACCUGUCAACAUGACAGGAGACACUUUAUCUCAGACAUCGACAAGGAGCACAUGACUCAACUGGAGCAAGAUAACAUCGAGCUGAGGUGCGAGGUGCUGAAGUUUCGAUAUGAGCUCUCUUGCCUUCAGCUGACCCAAGAACGUUUGAGCCACAGUGACGAGCUUAUCAGAUCUUACACGGGACUGCCAUCUUACGACAUAUUAGAAGCUGUAUAUGAGCUUGCUGCGCACAGGAUAACCCAUUCUGAAAAAAGCAGACUCACAAAAUUUCAGGAACUGAUUGUCUUUUUCCUAAAAGUUCCAUUGAAUAUGCCCUUUGAGGAUAUAGCGCAUAGAUUUGACAUUUCACGUACCGCUGCACCACGGAAUUUUUAUAAGUGGCUACAGUGUCUGUACAGUGUGCUCCAGCGCUUUAUUCAGUGGCCUGAUCGGCCAUGCCAUUGGCAUUCCGUGAAACCUUUGGCACAGGAGUUGCUGUAGUGCUGGACUGCUUUGAGAUAUUUAUGAACAGGCCAUCUUUAUUUGACCCACGAAGCGCCAACAUGGUCCACAUACAAAAGUCUCAAUACGGUCAAAUACCUUGUUGGAAUAGCACCACAAGGCUGUGUGAUAUUUCUGUCACGUGGUUUUGGGGGUCGCACAAGUGAUACAGAAAUCAGUGAAACGUCUGGAAUCUUAGACUACAUUCGUCCUGGAGACAUUGUUCUCGUAGAUACAGGUUUUUUAAUAAGUGAGUCAGUGGGCAUAAGAUGUGCAAGUCUAGAUAUACCAUCGUUUACACGUGGUAAACGGCAGCUGUCCUUUGAAGGCGUUGAGAAGUCACAUGAGAUUUCCAACGUAAGAACCCCAAGAACACUCGCGAUCCUCCGGACGUCCUCAAGAUGUCAUCGCGGCCUCGUCCGUGAUGGCAUGUCCGGAGGAGAUCCAGAGAGUGUCAUCAUGGGAUCUUCCAAUGAUAGUCAUUUGCGUACGUCCUGCGGUCGUCAGCCGGAGGACAUAUAUAGGAGAAGUAAAGUACUUUAACACUGCGUUUGUGCAUUUCAAUGCCUCCACCCACUAAUUAGUGUUCCGGUUUCUUUGUCCUAACGAAAUUCAACCGUACCAGCAGUGAUCAUCUAUAAAGUACCUUGCAGACCUUUCCUUUUAGUAAAUGUAUAUUCCCCCGACGAAAAAUACUACGAAGAGCAAAAACAAAUACAGGCGUACAAAUACAAAUUGAAUGAUAUCAAUGAAUACUCCAUUCACUGGGUUUAAUGUGCGAUAAAAUGUAGCUUGCUAGGCGUCUCAUUGUAACCUUGAUGCCAUUCAUAUCCGAGCAAGGUCCCUGACCGGAUGCUACACGGAGCAUUUCCGUGAAAGGUACAGAAAAGUAAUGGCAUAUUGCAGCGAGUGCUAGACUCUCGAUGGGUGCUUGAAAUCAAAUAAGCAGAAAACACGGACUUUACCUUGGUUAUAACCUAAUACUUCGAGCAAUUCGUCACUGCAGUGUUGCUUAUACAUGAAAUUUAAUUAAACUUAGGUACCUCACCCUUCGUUCUGACUGCGACGCUAGGACGACUCUCGCACAUGCGGGAGUUACAAAAUAUAUAGAAUAUGUUUUAUGUGCGAAAGGAAACGCCACUGCCGCAUAUUUCUUUCAAGGUGGGCUGCCUUAGACGUAGUGCACAGGACCUUCUAUAUUUUUGAUUUACAUACCGCGACACCCAUUCUUCGUCAUCGAAAACAGUCGAAGGGGAGAAACUGAAAAUGACAAGCUGGUGGCCGACGUUGAAAAACUAUAAAAAAAGUUGCUUUCUACUGUAAACGUCUGCUCACUUCUAAAUAAGAGAAAUGAAAGAAGAUUCACUAUAGCAACAUGCAGAACAACAUGAUCCUAAAGUGCUCCUGACACUAUCCCAUUUUUGUCCCCAGAUGUUGCCCCUAGGAUCAUCUGUGGUGUUUCAUUCUAACACUUUUCUAACAAGUUCAGGAUCCUUUGGGGAUAUUCCCAGGAUGUCAUUUCUGUCCUACAGUGACAUCCUCAGGAUGAGUGAGGGAUGUCAAUGUGUUCUUGAGGAAUUCAUGUUGAACGAAUUAUAGGACUUGUGUGAAGCAAGUACAAAUUUUUAAGGGCUGCCAUCCCGUAGAAUUCAUGAACAAAUGUGGUGAGGAAAUGACUGUACUUGACCAAAUUGUCACCGUGUGUUGUGCACUAUGUAAUUUUUGUACUUGUGUAGCUUGUGAACAGCUCAAAUAAAAUGUGAACAGUAGGUUUUUA